UACGAAGGGGGCUAGCGUUGUUCGGAAUUACUGGGCGUAAAGCGCGCGCAGGCGGCUAUCCAAGUCAGUGGUGAAAGCCCGGAGCUCAACUCCGGAACUGCCAUUGAAACUGUUUAGCUUGAGGACGAGAGAGGUGAGUGGAAUUCCCAGUGUAGAGGUGAAAUUCGUAGAUAUUGGGAAGAACACCGGUGGCGAAGGCGGCCAUCUGGACGGUGACUGACGCUGAGACGGCGAAAAGCGUGGGGAGCAAACAGG
This 255-nucleotide ribosomal RNA is filed under the name uncultured bacterium. RNAcentral describes it as "partial 16S ribosomal RNA". It matches the Rfam family "Bacterial small subunit ribosomal RNA", at positions 524 to 776 of the family's 1533-position model. The record is from RNAcentral.